This 532-nucleotide long non-coding RNA is filed under the name Nicotiana tabacum (common tobacco). Its description in RNAcentral is "long non-coding RNA (NTAB_LNC000535)". The record is from RNAcentral. Lineage: Eukaryota; Viridiplantae; Streptophyta; Magnoliopsida; Solanales; Solanaceae.
CCCUUUAGUCAGCAUUAGGGUUUUAAACCCUAAACUGAAUUUUCCCUUGAGUCAGCAUUAGGGUUUUAAACCCUAAACUGAACUUUUUCCUUUCAGCCAACAUUAGAGUUUUAAACUCUAAACUGAGCUUUUCCAUGCAAUCAGCAUUAGGGUUUUAAACCCUAAACUGAAUUUUCCUUUUAGUCAGCAUUAGGGUUUUAAACCCUAAACUGAACUUUUUCCUUUCAGCCAGCAUUAGGGUUUUAAAACCCUAAACUAGCUUUUCCAUGCAAUCAGCAUUAGGGUUUUAAACCCUAAACUGAACUUUUCCUUUUACCGUCAGCACUUAGGGUUUAAACCCUAAACCUGAACUUUUUCCUUUCAGCCAGCAUUAGGGUUUUAAACCCUAAACUGAGCUUUUCCAUGCAAUCAGCAUUAGGGUUUUAAACCCUAAACUGAAUUUUCCUUUUAGUCAGCAUUAGGGUUUUAAACCCUAAACUGAACUUUUUCCUUUCAGCCAGCAUUAGGGUUUUAAACUCUAAACUGAGAUUUU